Molecule: ribosomal RNA, 1349 nt
Filed under: metagenome
Description: bacterial LSU rRNA
Rfam family: Bacterial large subunit ribosomal RNA
Source: RNAcentral
UGAGUACGAGCCGCUACGGCAGCGAAGUGGGUGAUGUCAAGCUUCCAAGAAAAGCCCUAUACCCGUUAAGGCAUGACGGCCUGUACCCGAAACCGACACAGGUGGGGUGGUAGAGAAUACCGAGGGGCGCGAGGUAACUCUCUCUAAGGAACUCGGCAAAAUGGCCCCGUAACUUCGGGAGAAGGGGUGCCACCGCAAGGUGGUCGCAGUGAAGAGGCCCAGGCGACUGUUUACCAAAAACACAGGUCUCCGCUAAGUCGCAAGACGAUGUAUGGGGGCUGACGCCUGCCCAGUGCCGGAAGGUUAAGGAAGCUGGUCAGCGUAAGCGAAGCUGGCGACUGAAGCCCCGGUGAACGGCGGCCGUAACUAUAACGGUCCUAAGGUAGCGAAAUUCCUUGUCGGGUAAGUUCCGACCCGCACGAAAGGCGUAACGAUCUGGGCGCUGUCUCGGAGAGAGGCUCGGCGAAAUAGAAUUGUCUGUGAAGAUGCGGACUACGUGCACCCGGACAGAAAGACCCUAUGAAGCUUUACUGUAGCUUGGUAUUGUGCCCGGGCUCUGAAUGCGCAGGAUAGGUGGGAGGCUUUGAUCCAUUGCUUGCGGGUGAUGGUGAGCCAACGGUGAGAUACCACUCUUUCAGAGCUAGGGUUCUAACGGUCACCCGUUAUCCGGGGACCGGACAGUAUCAGGUGGGCAGUUUGACUGGGGCGGUCGCCUCCUAAGAGGUAACGGAGGCGCGCAAAGGUUCCCUCAGGCUGGUUGGAAAUCAGCCGACGAGUGUAAAGGCAGAAGGGAGCUUGACUGUGAGACCUACAAGUCGAACAGGGACGAAAGUCGGCCUUAGUGAUCCGACGGUUCUGAGUGGAAGGGCCGUCGCUCAACGGAUAAAAGUUACUCUAGGAUAACAGGCUGAUCUCCCCCAAGAGUUCACAUCGACGGGGAGGUUUGGCACCUCGAUGUCGGCUCAUCGCAACCUGGGGCUGAAGUCGGUCCCAAGGGUUGGGCUGUUCGCCCAUUAAAGCGGUACGCGAGCUGGGUUCAGAACGUCGUGAGACAGUUCGGUCCAUAUCCGGUGCAUGCGCAGGAAUAUUGAGAGGAUUUCUCCCUAGUACGAGAGGACCGGGAGGAACGCACCUCUGGUGUACCAGUUAUCGUGCCAACGGUAAACGCUGGGUAGCCAAGUGCGGUGAGGAUAACCGCUGAAAGCAUCUAAGUGGGAAGCCCACCUCAAGAUGAGUAUUCCCAUGGCGUUAGCCAGUAAGGUCACGGGCAGAACACCCGUUGAUAGGCUCUACGUGGAAGCUUGGUAACAGGUGAAGCGGAGGAGUACUAAUAGACCGAGGGCUUGACC